UAGCCAGUCAGGCAGCCUCUUUUAUUAGUUGACCUGAUACAAAGUGGACACACCUAUUGACAGCACAAGACUAAAAAUAGAAAAAGACGAAGAGAGAAAAUACAAACAGGCCAUUCAGGUUUGGAACAACAUGAGGAGGGAGGAAAAAACACAAAACUGCUCACUGGAGUGCUGUCUUCUCAGACCCUGCAAUUUAAGUAAACAAGUGGUGGAUACACACUUUACAGUAUAUAGAGCACAACUGAAAGGACUUACCCUACUGUAGAUGACAAACC
This is a long non-coding RNA of Xyrauchen texanus (razorback sucker), 275 nucleotides long. RefSeq lists it as uncharacterized. Lineage: Eukaryota; Metazoa; Chordata; Actinopteri; Cypriniformes; Catostomidae. The record is from RefSeq and is a predicted model, not a curated record. The transcript has 3 exons.